This 461-nucleotide ribosomal RNA is filed under the name Escherichia coli. Its description in RNAcentral is "partial 23S ribosomal RNA". It matches the Rfam family "Bacterial large subunit ribosomal RNA", at positions 2251 to 2711 of the family's 2925-position model. The record is from RNAcentral. Lineage: Bacteria; Pseudomonadati; Pseudomonadota; Gammaproteobacteria; Enterobacterales; Enterobacteriaceae.
ACAGUGUCUGGUGGGUAGUUUGACUGGGGCGGUCUCCUCCUAAAGAGUAACGGAGGAGCACGAAGGUUGGCUAAUCCUGGUCGGACAUCAGGAGGUUAGUGCAAUGGCAUAAGCCAGCUUGACUGCGAGCGUGACGGCGCGAGCAGGUGCGAAAGCAGGUCAUAGUGAUCCGGUGGUUCUGAAUGGAAGGGCCAUCGCUCAACGGAUAAAAGGUACUCCGGGGAUAACAGGCUGAUACCGCCCAAGAGUUCAUAUCGACGGCGGUGUUUGGCACCUCGAUGUCGGCUCAUCACAUCCUGGGGCUGAAGUAGGUCCCAAGGGUAUGGCUGUUCGCCAUUUAAAGUGGUACGCGAGCUGGGUUUAGAACGUCGUGAGACAGUUCGGUCCCUAUCUGCCGUGGGCGCUGGAGAACUGAGGGGGGCUGCUCCUAGUACGAGAGGACCGGAGUGGACGCAUCACUG